Molecule: long non-coding RNA, 475 nt
Filed under: Gallus gallus (chicken)
Lineage: Eukaryota; Metazoa; Chordata; Aves; Galliformes; Phasianidae
Description: lncRNA (ENSGALG00010005028.1)
Source: RNAcentral
AAAAAAAAGCAGGGAGAGGUGAACAAGGCCAAAAGAACGUAAACCAAAGAAGUAAACUCUGCAAAUCUUGAUGAAUACAACUCCACUGAUUAUACAUCUUUGAGCAUAUUAUGAUCCAUAUCUCCAACUAAUAAAAGACUAAAAGAUUGCCUUUGUUAGGAAAAUCAUAAAAAUGAAUUUAAAAGUACAUAAAGUAACAGCAAGAAAUUCUGUUGUAUUCCAUUUUGAUGAAGGCAGACACAGUUAGAGAAAAACACAGGCAUAACAUUUCUAACCAAGGCUGAAGAGAUCAGAGUUUUGUUGGUAAAGUUAAGGAGGCAUUCUCAAAGAAAGGAUGCUGUGCACAUGAACAUAUAGAGUCACUACAGUCUCAAACCCAUGUUGCUGCAGGACAAAUCAUAAUUCUAUUACACAUUUUCUCAAAUAGGAAAGGACAAAUAUGUGGGCUGCAACUUCUGAGCAAACUAAAAAUAAG